This 400-nucleotide ribosomal RNA is filed under the name uncultured bacterium. Its description in RNAcentral is "bacterial SSU rRNA". It matches the Rfam family "Bacterial small subunit ribosomal RNA", at positions 356 to 773 of the family's 1533-position model. The record is from RNAcentral.
GGGGAAUAUUGCACAAUGGAGGAAACUCUGAUGCAGCAACGCCGCGUGAGUGAUGAAGGUCUUCGGAUUGUAAAGCUCUGUCUUCUGGGACGAUAAUGACGGUACCAGAUGAGGAAGCCACGGCUAACUACGUGCCAGCAGCCGCGGUAAUACGUAGGUGGCAAGCGUUGUCCGGAAUUACUGGGCGUAAAGGGUGCGCAGGCGGACAUUUAAGUGAGAUGUGAAAGACCCGGGCUUAACUUGGGCAGUGCAUUUCAAACUGGAUGUCUGGAGUGCAGGAGAGGAGAACGGAAUUCCUAGUGUAGCGGUGAAAUGCGUAGAGAUUAGGAAGAACACCAGUGGCGAAGGCGACUCUCUGGGCUGUAACUGACGCUGAGGCGCGAAAGCGUGGGGAGCAAAC